UGAAAGUGGGCUAACGUGGCGCUCCCCAUCGUCGCCCCCCCCCCCUUGCCCGCCAUGUUUCCUGAACACAAAAUGGCGACACGUGGCCUGGAUUCGUCGCUCAGGAGAAAUUGGGGUCGCCCGAAAGCUCUAGAACGUGCCGCCUCCUGUUUACUGGGACUUCCCUGCCACGCGAGUCCUUAAGAUCCUUCCUGUAGGCUGGUCCGAAACGUGGCGGAAGAAGUUUAAUCCUCCCUCCUUUAAUUUGAAAGGAGAAUGUGAAUAAUAGUAAAAUCAGAGGAAGACACUUAAGCCCAGAGAAAUGAAGUGAGCCAUUCAAGGUCAUACAUUGUCCGGGAUGGAAUCCAGACCUUCUGAUUUCCUUACUGAUCUGGAUUAACUUUUGAAUUCCACAUUACCCAUUUUAUGGAUGAAGCUACUGAGAUAUGGAACAAUGGAUUGAAUAGUCACCGCCCCAACCCUGGAAUCUCAUACAGGACUCUUCUCACUCAAAUGACCACAGGUCACAUGAUAAGUCAAGAGUAAAGAAGGUGUCUUUGGAACUAGCUUCUUAUAGCCCGAAUUCUGACUCAACCACUUGUUGUGUGACCUUAGCUCGGUUGCCCUGACCCUACAGAAUGUAAGUCCCAUGCUGCUGGAGACCAUCUUGUCACCCUAAGGAGAAUACUGCCCAAGAAUGAAGGCAACACAGAUGACAGCUGAGCUGUGAGAUGGCGAAAACUGGAGACCAGAUGGUGUCUUGAGUACCUGGAUGUAACCAUGUGUUAAAUUGGUGGAAUCCUGGGCGCUUAUUUUGUGUGGACCUAGACUUUCCCCUUUUUCCCCUUAUAGAAGUUUGAUUUGAAUCGUCACCUGCUGCCAGAAGUGUCUUAAUUAAUCCAUGUCAUAAAUGGUAUAUCAUUCUCUUACA
Urocitellus parryii (Arctic ground squirrel) is the source of this 910-nucleotide non-coding RNA. The record is from RefSeq and is a predicted model, not a curated record. Lineage: Eukaryota; Metazoa; Chordata; Mammalia; Rodentia; Sciuridae.